RNAcentral lists this ribosomal RNA (459 nucleotides) under uncultured bacterium. Its description in RNAcentral is "partial 16S ribosomal RNA". It matches the Rfam family "Bacterial small subunit ribosomal RNA", at positions 338 to 795 of the family's 1533-position model. The record is from RNAcentral.
CCUACGGGCGGCUGCAGUGAGGAAUAUUGGUCAAUGGGCGGGAGCCUGAACCAGCCAAGCCGCGUGAAGGAAGAAGGCGCCAAGCGUCGUAAACUUCUUUUGUCGGGGAACAAAGGGCGCCACGUGUGGCGUUGUGAGUGUACCCGAAGAAAAAGCAUCGGCUAACUCCGUGCCAGCAGCCGCGGUAAUACGGAGGAUGCGAGCGUUAUCCGGAGUUAUUGGGUGAAAAGUGUGCGUAGGCGGUCCUGAAAGUCAGCGGUAAAAGCCCGGGGCUCAACCCCGGCGAGCCGUUGAAACUGUCGGACUAGAGACGGCGAGAGGUACGCGGAAUGCGCGGUGUAGCGGUGAAAUGCGUAGAUAUCGGGAAGAACACCGAUUGCGAAGGCAGCGUACCGGCGCCGGACUGACGCUGAGGCACGAAAGCGUGGGUAUCGAACAGGAUUAGAUACCCUAGUAGUC